Non-coding RNA from Lactuca sativa (garden lettuce), 1965 nucleotides. The record is from RefSeq and is a predicted model, not a curated record. NCBI's taxonomy places the organism in Eukaryota, Viridiplantae, Streptophyta, Magnoliopsida, Asterales, Asteraceae.
UUCAGGGAAUUGGCUUUGAAUGUGGAAGUCAUCAUUCCCAUGUAGCGUUUUCAGUGGUGUCCGCAUCCCAUUGUAUCAACCAUUGUGGAGUUUUAUGACCAGCCUUUGAGAUCUCUCGGAUAGCCAAACAUCGUUUUGGCAUAGGCAUGUAGGUAGGGUCCAUCUCGAGACCUUUACAAAGUGUCGGAUCAAGCUGGUGGUUCCCUAUGGCCUGUUUAAGUAAUUAGACAUGGAAAACCGGGUGGAUUUUGGCCUCAGUGGGAAGAUUAAGUUUGUAAGCAACGGGUCCCAUUUGGUUUGUGAUCUGGAAAGGUCUGUAGAAUCAUGCUGCUAAUUUUUUAUUGAUGCGGGGAACUACUGAUUGUUGCCUUUGAGGAUGGAGUUUUAGGUAGCCCCAUUCUCCGACGGAAAAGGACUCGUCGGCGGUGCUUAUCGGCUGAUUUUUUCAUACACUCUUGGGCCCGGGAGAGAUCAUACUUUAGUUGUUUAAGCACCUCGUCCCUAUCAACCAGAUCGCGUGCCACGACCUCGCAUUGUAUCUUGCCCGGAAUGAAUCGUGUGAUUGUGGGAGGGGGCUGACCCGUACACAAUUUUGAAAGGAGUGGUGUUGGUGGAGACGCGAUAUGCUAUGUUAUGCCAAUAUUCGGCCCAGGGUAGCCAAAAGGACCAUGUCUUAGGGGUUGUUUGAUAUUGAGCUGACCGGGUCCGGUCAGUAAAUUUUGGCUGACUCGGUCCGGUCAGGCCGUUUGGUAGAGCCCCAAAUUGGCUUACUCGGUCAGCUAUAGCCGACCAAUCUCCUGACCCGGUACGUGAAAAAAACGUAGUUGACUGGUAAAGAAACCCAUUUAUCCUCAUUUGCCCCUCUUUCUUCCUUUCUGGUCGAUCGACCUCUCCUCCUAUUGCUCUCCUCAAACCUGCCACUCUCUCUAUCUGCUCUCUCAACUUCUCAAAUCGGUAAUUGAAGGGUCGAUCAGAAGGGUAGAUUUUAAUCGAUUUCAUUUCACUCAAGCCCUGCGAUUUGAAGAACAAGAACACGAUUCUUUUGUUGCACUGCGUCUAGUAACUGAAUGGAUGACCUUGCAUGCGUGUCCGGUACCCAGCAAGAAACUCAAAAUCACAGCAUUUUCUCUCUCUUUUGGUAUCAGAAAUUAACAUACCAGUCCUCCAAUCAAUAACCAAAACAUUCGAUAUUCACCCUCUUUCCCUUCAAUUGAUAAGUUGGUUCCUGGUGUUGUUGGUAUGGUGUUUUGUUGGUAUGGCGGUAAUGUGGUGAUGAUUGUUGUCGGUUUGAUGGUGCAUGGUGGUGUUGGUAUGGUGUUUUGUAGUGGCUAUAAAGGAGGAAUUUGAUGGUGCAUGGUGGUGUUGGUAUGGUGUUUUGUAGUGGCUAUAAAGGAGGAAUUUGAUGGUGCAUGGUGGUGUUGGUAUGGUGUUUUGUAGUGGCUAUAAAGGUGGUGUUGGUAUGGAAGUGGCUGAUGAUGGUGGUGGUCAAGUUUUGGGGUGAUGGUUGGUGGUUUGGCGGAGAGGCGGGUAUAGAGAUGGAGAAGGGUUAAGUUGGUGGUGGUCGAUGGUGUGUGGAUAGAGGGUGAAGGUUGUGUAAUCAGGCUCAACACUCCUUUUGACCAAAAAAAAAUCAAACUCCCAAUCAGAGAUCAAACACUCCUCUUGACAAUCAAUAUUUGGUGUAUACCUAAAUGAUUCUCGAGGGCUGAAUCCUUUUAUUAGCUAUGUGAAUUGAUGGAUGGAUGUUGUUACUUGUAGUAAUUCCUUUCUAGGUUUGUGAUUCCAUUUCUUUAGUAAUGAUGUGCCAUUUGAUUUUGAGGUAUAUGUAAGCUUGUAAACUUAUACUCAGAUCUCUGUUUACCACAAUUCUCAAUAGUUGUAUUAUUAGAAAAUUGUGCUCAAUGGUUUUGUUGUUUAAACUAUGUAUGAACUAUGGUCAAUUCAAUGAUAUUGUCAUUUGAAUGA